UACGUAGGGUGCAAGCGUUAAUCGGAAUUACUGGGCGUAAAGCGUGCGCAGGCGGUUUUGUAAGUCUGACGUGAAAUCCCCGGGCUUAACCUGGGAAUUGCGUUGGAGACUGCAAGGCUGGAGUCUGGCAGAGGGGGGGUAGAAUUCCACGUGUAGCAGUGAAAUGCGUAGAGAUGUGGAGGAACACCGAUGGCGAAGGCAGCCCCCUGGGUCAAGACUGACGCUCAUGCACGAAAGCGUGGGGAGCAAACAGG
Molecule: ribosomal RNA, 254 nt
Filed under: uncultured bacterium
Lineage: Bacteria
Description: partial 16S ribosomal RNA
Rfam family: Bacterial small subunit ribosomal RNA
Source: RNAcentral